UCCAAAUUUUUUGAGGAAUCUCCAUACUACUUUCCAAAGUGGCUGAUUUUCUAAAAAGAUUAAGUAAAACCUGAUUUUUUAAAAUUAUAAUGAAGACAGAGACAAAUCUACAAUUAUGGUGAAAAUUUUCAAUUUCCUCUCAAUUAUUAGUGGAAUGAGUAGGAAGAAAAUGAGCAAAGGACUGGCGGAUCUGAAUCAGUCAGUCAAUAGGCUCUGAUAGCUUUUUAUAAAGUGUCCCACCCAACGACAGUGGAUGACCUUCUCUCAUGUGCCCAAAGAACCUUCAACACAGACUGUAUUCUGUACCAUAAAACAAGUCUUAAUGAAGUCAAAGGAUUUAAGUCAGACAAAGCAUGCACUGGCACCAUAAUGGAGUUAAAAUUGAAAUGGAUGGAUCCACAGAUACUGGAAGCAGACUAGGGGGUGUGGGGGUGCAGUGAGGAAGGUGAAGGCUGACCUGGUGGACAAGGCCUUUCCCAGGAGGGAUGAACAUGUUCAGCAACAAGAGCUGAAGCUUGCACCGUGUGGUUGCCCCUGAUUCUACACUUUAAAAUGGUUGAUUUUAUGUCAGAUACUUUUUACCUCAAUUCAAAAAAUCAAAAGCUAUAUAUGUGGGAAGCCCCAAAUAGUCGGAAAUUUAAAAGCAUGCACUCACACGGCUAUGGGCCACAGAAGAAAUCAAAAGGGAAAGUGUUUGAAUUCAAGGAAAAAAUGUCCAUCAUUGCAAAGAUGUUUCUGGCGCAGUCCUGGGCAGGGACCUGGGGUUUGCAGCAGUAAGCACCUGAAAAAAGAAAAAAAGAUCAGAUCUCAGUCCACUCUCCACCUUAAGAAGUAAAGAGCAAACUAAACCCAAAUGAGUAGAAGAAUAGAAAUUAAAAGGUCAGAGUGGAAAUCAGUGAAUUAGAAUCAGAAAAGAGGAAGCCUACAAAGACAAAGCUGGUUCUUUGAAGGACCAAUAAGUUAACACCUUCUAGUCAACUUGAUCAGACAAAAAAGAAAGGACAUAUGCAGCUAAUGUCAAAAAGGAGGCAACGUUGCCACAGACUCCACAGAGAGUGAAAGCAGAGAAAGGGAACGUCAUGAACUUGCAACUCAGGUGAGCAGACUCCUUUAAAGCAUGACCCACCAAGUCCCUGGAGGAAAGAGGUGACUUACAGCUCUGUGCCCACGAAUCUACUCUGGAUUGGGAGUACUCUCACAGAGGAGAAGCCAGGCUCAGGUGACUUUACGAUGAAUUCUACCAAAUAUGCAAGAAAAAUAAUACCAGCUCUGCACAGAUCCUUCCAGAAAGUAGAAAAAGAGGGCAUAUAUCCCAACUUUUCUAUGAGUCUACUAUUGCCCUGAUUCCAAAAUAGGACAAAGACAUUGCAAACAACAACAACAACAACAACAAAAUCGAUAUUUCUCAUGAAUAAAAGUACAAAAAAUCCUAAACGAAAAUCUAGAAAAUUAAAUCCAACAACAUAUAAAAAAGGUAAUACAUCAUAACCAAGUUAGGGUUAUCUCAGGAAUAAUUUUACAUUUAAAAAAUGUGGUUCAGCAUAUUUUUUGACCCAAUAAAUAAAAACCAUAUGAUGCAGGAAUAUUGUUUGACAAAGCCAGGCGCUGUGGAGCACGCCCGUAAUCCCAGCAGCUCAGGAGGCUGAGGCAGGAGGAUGGCGAGUUCAAAGCCAGCCUUAAGAAAAGCGAGGCACUAAGCAGCUCAGUAAGACUCUAAAUAAAAUACAAACUUGGGCUGGGGAUGUGGCUCAGUGGUCAAGUGCCCCUGAGUUCAAUCCAAGGUACCCCCGCAACACACAUACACACAAAAAUCCAUAUACAGAAGAGGGACAUUUCCUCAACCCAAGGAAAGGUAUCUAUUAACAAACUAUAGCUAAAGUCAUCCUUAUUGACAAGACUGAAUGUUUCCUUCUUUUAAUUAGGACGAACGCAAGGAAGUAUCUUUGUACCACUUUUAUCCAACAUUAUUUAGGAAAUUCUAGCCAGUGCAAUAAGUCAAGAAAAAGACAGUAAAAGGAUCCAGCUUGGGUAGGAAGAAGCUUGACAGUAACAUGAUGGUAUAGAAAAUUAUUUGCAAUGUACUGAUUAAACAUUAAAGCUACUAGUAAAGCUAGAUUAAAGCUCAUAAGCAAAUUAAGUUAAAGCUAACCAAUGAGUUUAAUCAGGUCACAAGACAGAAGAACAAUAUGCAAAAAUCAAUCGUAUAUUUCUAUGAACUAGGAACUAUCAAUCAGAUAGUAAAAAUUCAAAAAUAGUAUCAUUUAUGGUAGCAUUAAAAAAUGAAAUUUUACCCCCAAAAUGUGAAAAUUUGUACCGUAAGAACUACAAAGCAUUGUUGAGAAAAAUUAAAAGACCUAAGUGAAUGAAGAACCAUAUGGUUCAUGGAUCAGAACAGUUAAUUGUUAGGAUGUCAAUUCUCCCUACAUUAUCUGCAGGAUUUUUAAUAGAAAUAGAAUGAAAUUAAAUUUCAUAUGGGAAUGCAAAAGGCCUUACACAGCCAACACAACUUUGGAAAAGAACAGUAUUAGACAUCUAAUGCUACUUGAUUUUAAGUCCUGUUAUAGAGUUACAGGAAUUGAGAGUAUAUUUUUAGAGUAAGAGCAGGCCAACAGAUCAAUCUGGCGCAGCCCAGAAGCAGGCACACACAUACAUCAGGGACUGGCUCCCAACAGAGGAGCCCAAGCUGUCCACAGCAGGAAGGACACUGUUUAAAUGGUGCUAGAAUAACUGGAAGCAUAUGUCCAGAAAGCGGAAGUCCAAGUCCUACCUCAUACUGCAUGUAAAAGUCAGCUCAAAAUGGCUUGUGGUCCUAGGCAGAAGACCUAAAGUUAUAAAACAUCUAGAAGAAUACAGAAAACACCUCUGUGGCCUCAGAUUUGGCACACUUUUUUGGGGGGGAUACUAGGUAUUGAACCUAGAUGCACUUUACCACUCAAUCACAACCCCAGUCACAUAUAUACAUAUAUGU
RNAcentral lists this long non-coding RNA (2968 nucleotides) under Marmota monax (woodchuck). The record is from RNAcentral. Lineage: Eukaryota; Metazoa; Chordata; Mammalia; Rodentia; Sciuridae.